RNAcentral lists this ribosomal RNA (430 nucleotides) under uncultured archaeon. Its description in RNAcentral is "bacterial SSU rRNA". It matches the Rfam family "Archaeal small subunit ribosomal RNA", at positions 474 to 903 of the family's 1478-position model. The record is from RNAcentral.
UACCAGCUCUCCGAGUGGUGUGGAUGUUUAUUGGGCCUAAAGCAUCCGUAGCUGGCUGGGCAAGUCCCCUGUUAAAUCCACCGAUUUAAUCGUUGGUGUGCGGGGGAUACUGUUCGGCUAGGGGACGGGAGAGGCCGACGGUAUUUUCGGGGUAGGGGUGAAAUCCUAUAAUCCCGGGAAGACCACCAGUGGCGAAGGCUGUCGGCUAGAACGCGCCCGACGGUGAGGGAUGAAAGCUGGGGGAGCGAACCGGAUUAGAUACCCGGGUAGUCCCAGCUGUAAACGAUGCAGGCUAGGUGUUUGGGCGGCCACGUGCCGCUCUAGUGCCGCAGAGAAGUCGUUAAGCCUGCCGCCUGGGGAGUACGGCCGCAAGGCUGAAACUUAAAGGAAUUGGCGGGGGAGCGACCACAAGGGGUGAAGCUUGCGGUUU